RNAcentral lists this ribosomal RNA (264 nucleotides) under uncultured bacterium. Its description in RNAcentral is "partial 16S ribosomal RNA". It matches the Rfam family "Bacterial small subunit ribosomal RNA", at positions 96 to 354 of the family's 1533-position model. The record is from RNAcentral.
UGGCGAACGGGUGAGUAACACGUGGGCAACCUGCCCAAAAGAGGGGGAUAACACUUGGAAACAGGUGCUAAUACCGCAUAACCAUAGUUACCGCAUGGUAACUAUGUAAAAGGUGGCUAUGCUACCGCUUUUGGAUGGGCCCGCGACGCAUUAGCUAGUUGGUGGGGUAAAGGCUUACCAAGGCAAUGAUGCGUAGCCGAACUGAGAGGUUGAUCGGCCACAUUGGGACUGAGACACGGCCCAAACUCCUACGGGAGGCAGCAG